CUAUGCAUUAUGAUGAUAACUACCUGACUGACCACCAUGAAGAUAUUAGAAUAAAUCAAAAUAGUCUUUCACCCCUAUCUGAAUGCAACU
RNAcentral lists this small nucleolar RNA (90 nucleotides) under Sungouiella intermedia. RNAcentral describes it as "Candida intermedia Small nucleolar RNA snR60/Z15/Z230/Z193/J17". It matches the Rfam family "Small nucleolar RNA snR60/Z15/Z230/Z193/J17". Rfam says of the family: The members of this family belong to the C/D class of snoRNAs which contain the C (UGAUGA) and D (CUGA) box motifs. Most of the members of the box C/D family function in directing site-specific 2'-O-methylation of substrate RNAs. The record is from Rfam by way of RNAcentral. Lineage: Eukaryota; Fungi; Ascomycota; Pichiomycetes; Serinales; Metschnikowiaceae.